AGAGUUUGAUCCUGGCUCAGAGUGAACGCUGGCGGUAGGCCUAACACAUGCAAGUCGAACGGCAGCACAGUAAGAGCUUGCUCUUACGGGUGGCGAGUGGCGGACGGGUGAGGAAUACAUCGGAAUCUACUUUUUCGUGGGGGAUAACGUAGGGAAACUUACGCUAAUACCGCAUACGACCUACGGGUGAAAGCAGGGGAUCUUCGGACCUUGCGCGAUUGAAUGAGCCGAUGUCGGAUUAGCUAGUUGGCGGGGUAAAGGCCCACCAAGGCGACGAUCCGUAGCUGGUCUGAGAGGAUGAUCAGCCACACUGGAACUGAGACACGGUCCAGACUCCUACGGGAGGCAGCAGUGGGGAAUAUUGGACAAUGGGCGCAAGCCUGAUCCAGCCAUACCGCGUGGGUGAAGAAGGCCUUCGGGUUGUAAAGCCCUUUUGUUGGGAAAGAAAUCCAGCUGGUUAAUACCCGGUUGGGAUGACGGUACCCAAAGAAUAAGCACCGGCUAACUUCGUGCCAGCAGCCGCGGUAAUACGAAGGGUGCAAGCGUUACUCGGAAUUACUGGGCGUAAAGCGUGCGUAGGUGGUCGUUUAAGUCUGUUGUGAAAGCCCUGGGCUCAACCUGGGAACUGCAGUGGAAACUGGAUGACUAGAGUGUGGGUAGAGGGUAGCGGAAUUCCUGGUGUAGCAGUGAAAUGCGUAGAGAUCAGAGGAACAUCCAUGGCGAAGCAGCUACCUGGACCAACACUGACACUGAGGCACGAAAGCGUGGGGAGCAAACAGGA
RNAcentral lists this ribosomal RNA (781 nucleotides) under uncultured bacterium. RNAcentral's name for it is "bacterial SSU rRNA". It matches the Rfam family "Bacterial small subunit ribosomal RNA", at positions 8 to 777 of the family's 1533-position model. The record is from RNAcentral.